This 317-nucleotide long non-coding RNA is filed under the name Cyanistes caeruleus (blue tit). RNAcentral's name for it is "lncRNA (ENSCCEG00000012808.1)". Lineage: Eukaryota; Metazoa; Chordata; Aves; Passeriformes; Paridae. The record is from RNAcentral.
CUGGCUUCUGCUCUCCCCACUGCUUGCACUUUUCACCAGGACCAGCACCAGCUUCCCACAGUGGCCUUGUGGCACAGCUUGGCCAUGUGUGAGUUCUGGGCAGUGCUUCUGCAAGACCUGGGUGAGGACUCAGCUCCCCUGGCUCAGCUGCCUGCCAUGGCAGUAGCAGGUGAAGGAGCUGAGAACACAGAAAUUUGAAGGCAAUUGAGCAAUUUUACAGUCUGGAGUCCUGAUUCAGCAGCCUUCCCUGUUCAGCAAAGAAAUGAUGUGCUUAAUUCCAAUGGGACUUGGGCAUAUGCCUAAUUGGGACCAAUGUU